CAGAGCGCAGCUAAGCUAGAAAAGCACCUCCCUUACACCGAGAAGACAUCCGUGCAACUCGGAUCGCACUGA
Molecule: transfer RNA, 72 nt
Filed under: Macropinna microstoma (barreleye)
Lineage: Eukaryota; Metazoa; Chordata; Actinopteri; Argentiniformes; Opisthoproctidae
Description: tRNA-Val
Rfam family: tRNA
About the family: Transfer RNA (tRNA) molecules are approximately 80 nucleotides in length. Their secondary structure includes four short double-helical elements and three loops (D, anti-codon, and T loops).
Source: RNAcentral